This 162-nucleotide non-coding RNA is filed under the name Sorghum bicolor (sorghum). Lineage: Eukaryota; Viridiplantae; Streptophyta; Magnoliopsida; Poales; Poaceae. The record is from RNAcentral.
GCCGAGCCAAGUAGCGAUGGCUUGUCACCCUAGCGGGGGCAUUCAAGGUGGUGCGGAUGCCAUAUUUGUGGCUCUUUGGGCCCCUGGACCCUGUGAUUCUUUUUGCGGCCCUGCCUUCCUAGGUUUUGAGUAGUGGCCUCAUAUGUCGCAAAUACCUUUUUG